AGUGAACGCUGGCGGUAGGCCUAACACAUGCAAGUCGAACGGCAGCACAGUAAGAGCUUGCUCUUACGGGUGGCGAGUGGCGGACGGGUGAGGAAUACAUCGGAAUCUACUUUUUCGUGGGGGAUAACGUAGGGAAACUUACGCUAAUACCGCAUACGACCUACGGGUGAAAGCAGGGGAUCUUCGGACCUUGCGCGAAUGAAUGAGCCGAUGUCGGAUUGGCUAGUUGGCGGGGUAAAGGCCCACCAAGGCGACGAUCCGUAGCUGGUCUGAGAGGAGGAUCGGCCACACUGGAACUUGGACACGGUCCAGGCGACUACGGGAGGCAGCAGUGGGGAAUAUUGGACAAUGGGCGCAAGCCUGAUCCAGCCAUACCGCGUGGGUGAAGAAGGCCUUCGGGUUGUAAAGCCCUUUUGUGGGGAAAGAAAAGCAUCAGGUUGAUACCCCGCUGUUCUGACGGUACCCAAAGAAUAAGCACCGGCUAACUUCGUG
Molecule: ribosomal RNA, 492 nt
Filed under: uncultured bacterium
Lineage: Bacteria
Description: partial 16S ribosomal RNA
Rfam family: Bacterial small subunit ribosomal RNA
Source: RNAcentral